CCGGCGACCGGCGCACGGGUGAGUAACACGUAUGGAACCUGCCCGCAGCAGGGGGAUAAGCGGAAGAAAUUCCGUCUAAUACCGCGUAACAACGUUGGGAGGCAUCUCCCGAUGUUUAAAGAUUUAUCGGCUGCGGAUGGCCAUGCGGCGCAUUAGCUAGUCGGCGGGGUAACGGCCCACCGAGGCGACGACGCGUAGGGGUUCUGAGAGGAAGGUCCCCCACACUGGUACUGAGACACGGACCAGACUCCUACGGAAGGCAGCAG
This 266-nucleotide ribosomal RNA is filed under the name uncultured bacterium. RNAcentral's name for it is "partial 16S ribosomal RNA". It matches the Rfam family "Bacterial small subunit ribosomal RNA", at positions 88 to 354 of the family's 1533-position model. The record is from RNAcentral.